GCGGGGGUGGCGGAACAGGCAGACGCGCCAGAUUUAGGAUCUGGUGGGUAAAACCCGUGCGGGUUCAAGUCCCGCCUCCCGCA
This 83-nucleotide transfer RNA is filed under the name Caldifarciminota bacterium. Its description in RNAcentral is "tRNA-Leu". It matches the Rfam family "tRNA". From Rfam's summary of the family: Transfer RNA (tRNA) molecules are approximately 80 nucleotides in length. Their secondary structure includes four short double-helical elements and three loops (D, anti-codon, and T loops). The record is from RNAcentral. RNAcentral also lists the same sequence under 1 other name. Lineage: Bacteria; Pseudomonadati; Caldifarciminota.